UACGAAGGGGGCUAGCGUUGUUCGGAAUUACUGGGCGUAAAGGGCGCGUAGGCGGUUGCUCAAGUCAGGCGUGAAAGCCCCCGGGCUCAACCUGGGAAUUGCGCUUGAGACUGGGCGGCUUGAGUUCGGGAGAGGUGAGUGGAAUUCCCAGUGUAGAGGUGAAAUUCGUAGAUAUUCGGAAGAACACCAGUGGCGAAGGCGGCUCACUGGCCCGGUACUGACGCUGAGGUGCGAAAGCGUGGGGAGCAAACAGG
Molecule: ribosomal RNA, 254 nt
Filed under: uncultured bacterium
Lineage: Bacteria
Description: partial 16S ribosomal RNA
Rfam family: Bacterial small subunit ribosomal RNA
Source: RNAcentral